GUGUGUUAGCUUAGUGUUUAUAAAAUUUCAUUGAAAUCGGAGUAGUUUAAGUUAGGUUUUAAGUCUUAAUUUUGGUUUAUGGUCAUAGUGUUAGUUAAUCUGUUAUUUAAUAGAAGAUUUGUUGAUGGAUGAAUUGUAGCUUCAUUAUGCAAGCGAAAACUCGAGCAUUUCUUUAGAACAGAUUAUUUACCAUAAUGCAAUUUUUACUCCUUUGGUUUCAGGGGCAAUGACGGCUUAAUUUUCUUCGAAAUCUUGAUCAUUGCCUCUCAAGCUAUUCAUCUGUUAUACGAAAAUCCGAGAUAGAGGAUGCAGAGGAGUGCUUCAAACUAUUUUCUUUGGAAGAGGCGGCUAAAUUUGACGAAGUGACCCUUGCCAAUGUGAACAACUUCAAAAAGCGCU
Rosa chinensis is the source of this 399-nucleotide long non-coding RNA. RefSeq lists it as uncharacterized. Lineage: Eukaryota; Viridiplantae; Streptophyta; Magnoliopsida; Rosales; Rosaceae. The transcript is spliced from 2 exons. The record is from RefSeq and is a predicted model, not a curated record.